Molecule: ribosomal RNA, 305 nt
Filed under: uncultured bacterium
Lineage: Bacteria
Description: bacterial SSU rRNA
Rfam family: Bacterial small subunit ribosomal RNA
Source: RNAcentral
GCCUACGGGAGGCAGCAGUGGGGAAUAUUGCGCAAUGGGCGAAAGCCUGACGCAGCGACGCCGCGUGAGGGAUGAAGGUCUUCGGAUCGUAAACCUCUGUCAGCAGGGAAGAACGGUCACGGUGCUAAUCAGCAGUGAAUUGACGGUACCUGCAAAGGAAGCACCGGCUAACUCCGUGCCAGCAGCCGCGGUAAUACGGAUGGUGCGAGCGUUAAUCGGAGUUACUGGGCGUAAAGCGCUCGUAGGCGGUAUGUCAAGUCAAGGGUGAAAUCCCCGCGCUCAACGUGGGAACUGCCUUUGAAACU